This 517-nucleotide ribosomal RNA is filed under the name Brachyspira aalborgi. Its description in RNAcentral is "bacterial SSU rRNA". It matches the Rfam family "Bacterial small subunit ribosomal RNA", at positions 106 to 640 of the family's 1533-position model. The record is from RNAcentral. Lineage: Bacteria; Pseudomonadati; Spirochaetota; Spirochaetia; Brachyspirales; Brachyspiraceae.
GUGAGUAACACGUAGGUAAUCUGCCGUAGAGUGGGGGAUAACCCAUGGAAACAUGGACUAAUACCGCAUAUACUCUUGACGCUAAAGCGUAGUAGAGGAAAGGAGCAAUCCGCUUUACGAUGAGCCUGCGGCCUAUUAGCCUGUUGGUGAGAUAAAAGCCCACCAAAGCUACGAUAGGUAGCCGACCUGAGAGGGUGACCGGCCACAUUGGGACUGAGAUACGGCCCAGACUCCUACGGGAGGCAGCAGCUGAGAAUCUUCCACAAUGGACGAAAGUCUGAUGGAGCGACAUCGCGUGAGGGAUGAAGGCCUUCGGGUUGUAAACCUUGGAAAUUAUCGAAGAAUGAGUGACAGUAGAUAAUGUAAGCCUCGGCUAACUACGUGCCAGCAGCCGCGGUAAUACGUAGGAGGCAAACGUUGCUCGGAUUUACUGGGCGUAAAGGGUGAGUAGGCGGAACUAUAAGUCUAAGGUGAAAUAUCGAAGCUCAACUUCGGAGACGCCUUGGAUACUGUGGUU